RNAcentral lists this unclassified non-coding RNA (406 nucleotides) under soil metagenome. RNAcentral describes it as "partial contains 5.8S ribosomal RNA, internal transcribed spacer 2, and large subunit ribosomal RNA". The stretch from base 1 to 121 matches the Rfam family "5.8S ribosomal RNA", at positions 35 to 154 of the family's 154-position model. The record is from RNAcentral.
GAUGAAGAACGUAGUGAAAUGCGAUAAGUAAUGUGAAUUGCAGAAAUCAGUGAAUCAUCGAAUCUUUGAACGCACCUUGCGCCCUUUGGCCAUUCCGAAGGGCAUGCCUGUUUGAGUAUCAUGAACACCUCAACUCUUCAUGGUUUUCCAUGAUGAGCUUGGACUUUGGGGGUCUUGCUGGCCUGUGGGUCGGCUCCUCUCAAAUGAAUCAGCUUGCCGGUUUUUGGUGGGCAUCACAGGUGUGAUAACUAUCUACGCUUGUGGUUUUCCACCAGGGUAACCUUCAGCAGUGGAGGUUCACUGGAGCUUACAAAUGUCUCUCCUCUGUGAGGACAGCCCUUUGAAUGUUUGAUCUCAAAUCAGGUAGGACUACCCGCUGAACUUAAGCAUAUCAAUAAGCGGAGGA